GUAGACGCUACGGACUUAAAAUCCGUCGACUUUAAAAAUCGUGAGGGUUCAAGUCCCUCUAUCCCCA
This 67-nucleotide transfer RNA is filed under the name Iresine rzedowskii. It matches the Rfam family "tRNA", at positions 18 to 71 of the family's 71-position model. Rfam says of the family: Transfer RNA (tRNA) molecules are approximately 80 nucleotides in length. RNAcentral also lists the same sequence under 1 other name. Lineage: Eukaryota; Viridiplantae; Streptophyta; Magnoliopsida; Caryophyllales; Amaranthaceae. The record is from RNAcentral.